AGAGUUUGAUCCUGGCUCAGAACGAACGCUGGCGGCGUGGAUUAGGCAUGCAAGUCGAACGGGCAUCUUGUGUAGCAAUAUAUGAGGUGCUAGUGGCGUAAGGGCGAGUAACACGUGGGCAACGUGCCUCGGCGCUGGGGAUAACCUUCCGAAAGGAGGGCUAAUACCGAAUGUGGUCGUUUCGCGCAAGCGGGACGGCUAAAGGUGGGGAUCCGCAAGGACCUACCGCGCAGAGAGCGGCCCGCGUCCUAUCAGCUUGUUGGUGGGGUAACGGCCUACCAAGGCGACGACGGGUAGCCGAGUUGAGAGACUGACCGGCCGCACUGGGACUGAGACACUGCCCAGACUCCUACGGGAGGCUGCAGUCGAGGAUCAUUCGCAAUGGGCGAAAGCCUGACGAUGCGACGCCGCGUGAACGAAGAAGGCCUUCGGGUUGUAAAGUUCUUUGAGCAGGGACGAACGCUUUCCCGCGAACAGCGGGUAGAGCCUGACGGUACCUGCAGAACAAGCCACGGCUAACCUCGUGCCAGCAGCCGCGGUAAUACGAGGGUGGCUAGCGUUGUUCGGAGUUAUUGGGCGUAAAGGGCGUGUAGGCGGCCCGAGAAGUCUGGUGUGAAAUCGCAGGGCUCAACCCUGCGGGUGCGCUGGAAACUGGUGGGCUUGAGUUCUUGAGGGGAAGCUGGAAUUCCAGGUGUAGGGGUGAAAUCUGUAGAUAUCUGGAAGAACACCGGUGGCGAAGGCGAGCUUCUAUCA
This 753-nucleotide ribosomal RNA is filed under the name uncultured bacterium. Its description in RNAcentral is "bacterial SSU rRNA". It matches the Rfam family "Bacterial small subunit ribosomal RNA", at positions 8 to 734 of the family's 1533-position model. The record is from RNAcentral.